RNAcentral lists this ribosomal RNA (449 nucleotides) under uncultured bacterium. RNAcentral describes it as "partial 16S ribosomal RNA". It matches the Rfam family "Bacterial small subunit ribosomal RNA", at positions 29 to 523 of the family's 1533-position model. The record is from RNAcentral.
AGCGAACGCUGGCGGCAGGCCUAACACAUGCAAGUCGAACGAAGUCUUCGGACUUAGUGGCGGACGGGUGAGUAACACGUGGGAACGUACCUUUUGGUUCGGAACAACUCAGGGAAACUUGAGCUAAUACCGAAUGUGCCCUUAGGGGGAAAGAUUUAUCGCCAUUAGAGCGGCCCGCGUUAGAUUAGCUAGUUGGUGAGGUAAAGGCUCACCAAGGCUACGAUCUAUAGCUGGUCUGAGAGGAUGAUCAGCCACACUGGGACUGAGACACGACCCAGACUCCUACGGGAGGCAGCAGUGGGGAAUCUUGCGCAAUGGGCGAAAGCCUGACGCAGCCAUGCCGCGUGAAUGAUGAAGGUCUUAGGAUUGUAAAAUUCUUUUAGCAGGGACGAUAAUGACGGUACCUGCAGAAAAAGCCCCGGCUAACUUCGUGCCAGCCGCCGCCGUAA